RNAcentral lists this transfer RNA (82 nucleotides) under bacterium. RNAcentral's name for it is "tRNA-Tyr". It matches the Rfam family "tRNA". From Rfam's summary of the family: Transfer RNA (tRNA) molecules are approximately 80 nucleotides in length. Their secondary structure includes four short double-helical elements and three loops (D, anti-codon, and T loops). The record is from RNAcentral. RNAcentral also lists the same sequence under 5 other names.
GGGGAGGUUCCAGAGUGGCCAAAUGGGGCAGACUGUAAAUCUGCUGGCUAUGCCUUCGGAGGUUCGAAUCCUUCCCUCCCCA